Molecule: ribosomal RNA, 460 nt
Filed under: uncultured bacterium
Lineage: Bacteria
Description: partial 16S ribosomal RNA
Rfam family: Bacterial small subunit ribosomal RNA
Source: RNAcentral
CCUACGGGGAGCUGCAGUGAGGAAUAUUGGUCAAUGGACGAGAGUCUGAACCAGCCAAGUAGCGUGAAGGAUGACUGCCCUAUGGGUUGUAAACUUCUUUUAUAUGGGAAUAAAAUGUUCCACGUGUGGGAUUUUGUAUGUACCAUAUGAAUAAGGAUCGGCUAACUCCGUGCCAGCAGCCGCGGUAAUACGGAGGAUCCGAGCGUUAUCCGGAUUUAUUGGGUUUAAAGGGAGCGUAGGUGGAUUGUUAAGUCAGUUGUGAAAGUUUGCGGCUCAACCGUAAAAUUGCAGUUGAAACUGGCAGUCUUGAGUACAGUAGAGGUGGGCGGAAGUCGUGGUGUAGCGGUGAAAUGCUUAGAUAUCACGAAGAACUCCGAUUGCGAAGGCAGUUCACUGGACUGCAACUGACACUGAGGCUCGAAAGUGUGGGUAUCAAACAGGAUUAGAUACCCGUGUAGUC